CAGGCCUAACACAUGCAAGUCGAGCGAGAAAAUUCCUUCGGGAAUGAUUAAAGCGGCGGACGGGUGCGUACAACAUGGAUAACCUACCAUAAGGACCGGGAUAACCUCGGGAAACCGAAGCUAAUACCGGAUAAGACCACAUUAUCUGCGGAUAAAGGGGUAAAAUGUUUUUCGCCUUUUGAUGGGUCCAUGCUCCAUCAGGUUGUUGGUGAGGUAAAAGCUCACCAAGCCGAAGACGGAUAGCCGGCCUUAGCGGGUGAUCGGCCACACGGGGACUGAGACACGGCCCCGACUCCUACGGGAGGCAGCAGUGGGGAAUAUUGGGCAAUGGGCGAAAGCCUGACCCAGCCAUGCCGCGUGAAGGAUGAAGGCCUUCGGGUCGUAAACUUCUGUCAGUAGGGACGAUGGGACUUCGGUCUUGACGGUACCUACAGAGGAAGCCCCGGCUAACUCCGUGCCAGCAGCCGCGGUAAUACGGAGGGGGCAAGCGUUGCUCGGAUUUACUGGGCGUAAAGGGUCCGCAGGCGGUUGAGCAAGUUAGAUGUGGAAGCUCAAGGCUUAACCUUGGAAUUGCAUCUAAAACUGCUCGACUAGAGUCCA
This 600-nucleotide ribosomal RNA is filed under the name uncultured bacterium. RNAcentral describes it as "bacterial SSU rRNA". It matches the Rfam family "Bacterial small subunit ribosomal RNA", at positions 43 to 650 of the family's 1533-position model. The record is from RNAcentral.